CCUUUGCCGACCAGCGUUAUCUUGUAUUGUAUUCUUAAUAUUUAAAUGGCCGUAAUGAUCUGGGGUGGGUCAUGUAUUCGGGCCAACAACAGGUUAUAUUAGAGUGUAAAUUCAGUUUUUAUGCGUAUAUACUGGAAGAAGAGAAGAGAGAGAAAGAAGGAAUUUUUGUUGGGAGGUGGUAGGAAAGGAAAAAUGGGAAAGCGCAGGCCAGGGUUGAGUCGGGAAUCGAACCCGAGAUCUCCGGGAUGUGAGUCAGGCGCGCUACACACUGAGCCACCGGAGGCCCC
Molecule: long non-coding RNA, 287 nt
Organism: Formica exsecta
Lineage: Eukaryota; Metazoa; Arthropoda; Insecta; Hymenoptera; Formicidae
Exons: 2
Source: RefSeq, a predicted model, not a curated record